CCAGGGUUCCGUUUUAGAUUUUUUAUUUCUGCUCAGGACGAACGCUGGCGGCGUGCCUAAUACAUGCAAGUCGAACGAACUCUGGUAUUGAUUGGUGCUUGCAUCAUGAUUUACAUUUGAGUGAGUGGCGAACUGGUGAGUAACACGUGGGAAACCUGCCCAGAAGCGGGGGAUAACACCUGGAAACAGAUGCUAAUACCGCAUAACAACUUGGACCGCAUGGUCCGAGUUUGAAAGAUGGCUUCGGCUAUCACUUUUGGAUGGUCCCGCGGCGUAUUAGCUAGAUGGUGAGGUAACGGCUCACCAUGGCAAUGAUACGUAGCCGACCUGAGAGGGUAAUCGGCCACAUUGGGACUGAGACACGGCCCAAACUCCUACGGGAGGCAGCAGUAGGGAAUCUUCCACAAUGGACGAAAGUCUGAUGGAGCAACGCCGCGUGAGUGAAGAAGGGUUUCGGCUCGUAAAACUCUGUUGUUAAAGAAGAACAUAUCUGAGAGUAACUGUUCAGGUAUUGACGGUAUUUAACCAGAAAGCCACGGCUAACUACGUGCCAGCAGCCGCGGUAAUACGUAGGUGGCAAGCGUUGUCCGGAUUUAUUGGGCGUAAAGCGAGCGCAGGCGGUUUUUUAAGUCUGAUGUGAAAGCCUUCGGCUCAACCGAAGAAGUGCAUCGGAAACUGGGAAACUUGAGUGCAGAAGAGGACAGUGGAACUCCAUGUGUAGCGGUGAAAUGCGUAGAUAUAUGGAAGAACACCAGUGGCGAAGGCGGCUGUCUGGUCUGUAACUGACGCUGAGGCUCGAAAGUAUGGGUAGCAAACAGGAUUAGAUACCCUGGUAGUCCAUACCGUAAACGAUGAAUGCUAAGUGUUGGAGGGUUUCCGCCCUUCAGUGCUGCAGCUAACGCAUUAAGCAUUCCGCCUGGGGAGUACGGCCGCAAGGCUGAAACUCAAAGGAAUUGACGGGGGCCCGCACAAGCGGUGGAGCAUGUGGUUUAAUUCGAAGCUACGCGAAGAACCUUACCAGGUCUUGACAUACUAUGCAAAUCUAAGAGAUUAGACGUUCCCUUCGGGGACAUGGAUACAGGUGGUGCAUGGUUGUCGUCAGCUCGUGUCGUGAGAUGUUGGGUUAAGUCCCGCAACGAGCGCAACCCUUAUUAUCAGUUGCCAGCAUUAAGUUGGGCACUCUGGUGAGACUGCCGGUGACAAACCGGAGGAAGGUGGGGAUGACGUCAAAUCAUCAUGCCCCUUAUGACCUGGGCUACACACGUGCUACAAUGGAUGGUACAACGAGUUGCGAACUCGCGAGAGUAAGCUAAUCUCUUAAAGCCAUUCUCAGUUCGGAUUGUAGGCUGCAACUCGCCUACAUGAAGUCGGAAUCGCUAGUAAUCGCGGAUCAGCAUGCCGCGGUGAAUACGUUCCCGGGCCUUGUACACACCGCCCGUCACACCAUGAGAGUUUGUAACACCCAAAGUCGGUGGGGUAACCUUUUAGGAACCAGCCGCCUAAGGUGGGACAGAUGAUUAGGGUGAAGUCGUAACAGGGUAAACCGGAA
RNAcentral lists this ribosomal RNA (1549 nucleotides) under Lactiplantibacillus pentosus. RNAcentral's name for it is "bacterial SSU rRNA". It matches the Rfam family "Bacterial small subunit ribosomal RNA". Lineage: Bacteria; Bacillati; Bacillota; Bacilli; Lactobacillales; Lactobacillaceae. The record is from RNAcentral.